RNAcentral lists this ribosomal RNA (465 nucleotides) under Vreelandella stevensii. Its description in RNAcentral is "partial 16S ribosomal RNA". It matches the Rfam family "Bacterial small subunit ribosomal RNA", at positions 338 to 795 of the family's 1533-position model. Lineage: Bacteria; Pseudomonadati; Pseudomonadota; Gammaproteobacteria; Oceanospirillales; Halomonadaceae. The record is from RNAcentral.
CCUACGGGUGGCAGCAGUGGGGAAUAUUGGACAAUGGGGGCAACCCUGAUCCAGCCAUGCCGCGUGUGUGAAGAAGGCCCUCGGGUUGUAAAGCACUUUCAGUGAGGAAGAACGCCUGGUGGUUAAUACCCAUCAGGAAAGACAUCACUCACAGAAGAAGCACCGGCUAACUCCGUGCCAGCAGCCGCGGUAAUACGGAGGGUGCGAGCGUUAAUCGGAAUUACUGGGCGUAAAGCGCGCGUAGGUGGCUUGAUAAGCCGGUUGUGAAAGCCCCGGGCUCAACCUGGGAACGGCAUCCGGAACUGUGAAGCUAGAGUGCAGGAGAGGAAGGUAGAAUUCCCGGUGUAGCGGUGAAAUGCGUAGAGAUCGGGAGGAAUACCAGUGGCGAAGGCGGCCUUCUGGACUGACACUGACACUGAGGUGCGAAAGCGUGGGUAGCAAACAGGAUUAGAUACCCUGGUAGUC